GAUGAAGAACGUAGCGAAAUGCGAUAAGUAAUGUGAAUUGCAGAAUUCAGUGAAUCAUCGAAUCUUUGAACGCACCUUGCGCUCCUUGGUAUUCCGAGGAGCAUGCCUGUUUGAGUGUCAUGAAAUUCUCAACCUUUUCAGCUUUCUUUGUUGAUCAGGCUUGGAUGUGGGAGUAUGCGGGCUUCUCAGAAGUCGGCUCUCCUGAAAUGCAUUAGCGGGACCUUUGUUGCCUGGCUUUGGUGUGAUAAUUAUCUACGCCAUUGUAAUCAAGCAGCUUAAAAUGAGGUUUCAGCUUCUAACCGUCUCCCCUGAGACAACUUUUUGACAAUUUGACCUCAAAUCAGGUAGGACUACCCGCUGAACUUAAGCAUAUCAAUAAGCGGAGGA
RNAcentral lists this unclassified non-coding RNA (387 nucleotides) under soil metagenome. RNAcentral's name for it is "partial contains 5.8S ribosomal RNA, internal transcribed spacer 2, and large subunit ribosomal RNA". The stretch from base 1 to 120 matches the Rfam family "5.8S ribosomal RNA", at positions 35 to 154 of the family's 154-position model. The record is from RNAcentral.